This 51-nucleotide transfer RNA is filed under the name Saprospirales bacterium. RNAcentral's name for it is "tRNA-Ser". It matches the Rfam family "tRNA", at positions 25 to 71 of the family's 71-position model. From Rfam's summary of the family: Transfer RNA (tRNA) molecules are approximately 80 nucleotides in length. Lineage: Bacteria; Pseudomonadati; Bacteroidota; Saprospiria; Saprospirales. The record is from RNAcentral.
GCCUGCUUUGGGAGCAGGAUGUCAGAGGUUCGAAUCCUUUCAUCGAGACCA